Molecule: ribosomal RNA, 467 nt
Filed under: uncultured bacterium
Lineage: Bacteria
Description: partial 16S ribosomal RNA
Rfam family: Bacterial small subunit ribosomal RNA
Source: RNAcentral
GAUGAACGCUGGCGGCGUGCUUAACACAUGCAAGUCGAACGGAAAGGCCCAAGCUUUCUUGGGUACUCGAUUGGCGAACGGGUGAGUAACACGUGGGUGAUCUGCCCUGCACUUCGGGAUAAGCCUGGGAAACUGGGUCUAAUACUGGAUAGGACAUCUUCUAGGGUGUUGUGGUGGAAAGUUUUGUGGGUGUGGGAUGAGCUCGCGGGCUAUCGGCUUGUCGGUGGGGUAAUGGCCUACCAAGGCGUCGACGGGUAGCCGGUCAGAGGCGGUGUACGGCCGCACUGGGACCGAGGGAAGGCCCAGGCACCGACGGGACGGAGCAGUGCGGAAGAUUGAACAAUGGGCGCAAGCCUGAUGCAGAGGCGCCGCGUAGGGGAUGACUGUCUUAGGGGUGUAAACUCCUUUCGCUAGGGACGAAGCGUUUUGUGACGGUACCUGGUGAAGAAGCACCGGCUAACUACGUG